This 1696-nucleotide long non-coding RNA is filed under the name Apteryx owenii (little spotted kiwi). RNAcentral describes it as "lncRNA (ENSAOWG00000011905.1)". Lineage: Eukaryota; Metazoa; Chordata; Aves; Apterygiformes; Apterygidae. The record is from RNAcentral.
GAGAAGAUUAGAGAUCUGUGGAAUACUUACUGCUGGUGAUCUAAGAAGCAGACCUUGUACUGCUCAGUUUUCAUCAGCUGUACCAAAGGGAAAAGAGCAAAAGCUUGUUUUUACUGCUAAGCUGAGUGAAUAUGGCAUGGAAAUCUUGUAAUGGCAAGUGUAGUGUUGCCUUGACAUGCAUCAUUUCAAUUUGGCAGCCCCAGCAAAUGGAUGGAAGCAAUUCAGUAUGAUAAUUCAGUAUUGCCAAGAGGCGGCUUCUCAAUCUAGUGCGGACACAUUCCAUGGUGGGAUUUAAAGCCUAUAUUAAGUGAUAGAAAAUGGGUCUAAUUCAGCACUUUGUUGUUCCAGCUUUACACUAAGACAGCCAUGAUUUCAAAGAUUCUAAAAUGAAAGUUGAUGGAGCCUAAGGAUGCUCUCAGAUAUAAAUGAUUAAUUUAUGCUACGAUCACUCUGGAGUUCCUUAUUUCAACUUCACAUCAGUUUAACUAAAUAGAAUUCAUUCAAGUGUGUCACCUUCCUAAGAGGUAAGUUCAGUGAAAGAGUACUACUUUUCACUGUUUGGUUUAAAUCUGUGGAAUGUAUUAGAAAUCUGAAACUUAAGUAGUUUGUCACAGCUAAAACCAUAAUGAAAAGAAGAGUUACGUGUGCUGGUCUGGUUAUUUUUUCAAAGCUAUGAACCUGCUCCAGGUUUGAGCUAGUGAAAUGGAGACUGCAGUCUGGUCCAUUUAAUGUAUUCUUUAUAGAGAUGCUCUUGGGCCAUAUAGAAUGAAAUAUCCUAUUUUCUGGAAGUCAGUCAUAUCAUUAAAGACUAAGAACUCAACCUCAUCCCUUAUAUAGGAUUACACAAAAGGACUGUGGUAGAUAAAUGAGUCAUUUCUGGGCAUAGGUUAAUAUUUCUAGAUGUAGCUGUUCCUUAUUGUGUCCUUUGUCUUUUUUCUUGAAGCCAAGGCAAACUACCCAGAUUGAGAUUUGGCCCACUUAAAAUGCUUAACAAGAACAAAAUAAGCUUGAAAGAACUUCUCCCUUUUUCUCUCCUGCCACUCAGAUGUGAGGACAUUGUUACAAGCCCCUCAGCUGAGAAGGGGUGGCACUACAUUGCUGGGGAGCUGCCGGAGCCGCUAACAGCCUGCCACAACUGCUGCAAGUGUUACGUGUGGUCCAACUGGUGGCCUGCAGGCCAGCUCCAGGCUGCUGCGCCAAUCCAUCCGGCCCACUGGCUUCUUCCUUGGAGGAGAUGGGGAACAGCUGUUUUGAGCAAGGACUGCACCCUCAGCAGCUGAGCCUGCCCUCCAGCACAAAGCCACAAUGCUGCUGUUGACGGGAGGAAAAUGGUUUUCUCCUGGAGCCCUCUGCUUCUGAACAACUCAGAGCUCAUAGCACUGUUUUCCUAAGGAAUUCAUCUUUCUCUGUGAGAUUAGAAUACAAGUUAUACCUUCUAAGCAAAGGCUUUAUGUUCUUCCCAGCUAUAAGAAUAACUUGUUUGCUAACAGCCUGAAAUAUGGAAGGAGGAAGAAGGUAAAAAUGAGAUUCUUGGCCUGGACUUCAAGGUCUUUGUUUUUAACAUUACAGGGCUUUGUGAUUCUAAUUGUUAACAAUGUGGAUGCUAUUUUAUAAAAAUGUGUGUGUGUUAUAUUGUUUUAUAGCACACUCUGGGUUGACAAUCAAAAUAAACUCUGUUAGGAUUAAAAAUAAAGCA